CGGUUGAUCCUGCCGGAGGCUAUUGCUAUCAGGGUUUGACUAAGCCAUGCGAGUCGAGAGGUGAAAGACCUCGGCAUACUGCUCAGUAACACGUGGAUAAUCUGCCCUCAGGUGAGGAAUAAUCCCGGGAAACUGGGGCUAAUGCCUCAUAGGAGACGGGUGCUGGAAUGCUCUGUCUCCGAAAGGUCCGCCGCCUGAGGAUGAGUCUGCGUCCGAUUAGGUUGUUGUUGGGGUAACGGCCCAACAAGCCUUUGAUCGGUACGGGUUGUGGGAGCAAGAGCCCGGAGAUGGAUUCUGAGACAUGAAUCCAGGCCCUACGGGGCGCAGCAGGCGCGAAAACUUUACAAUGCGAGCAAUCGUGAUAAGGAAACCCUGAGUGCCUGUCAAUGCAGGCUGUUCUGGUGUCUAACACACACCAGGAGAAAGGGCGGGGCGAGACCGGUGCCAGCCGCCGCGGUAAUACCGGCUGCUCGAGUGAUAGCCACUUUUACUGGGCUUAAAGCGUUCGUAGCUUGGUCGUUAAGUCUCUGGGGAAAUCUUUUGGCUCAACCAAAAGGCGUCUCAGGGAAACUGACGAUCUUGGAACCGGGAGAGGUAAGACGUACUUCGGGGGUAGGAGUGAAAUCUUGUAAUCCCCGAGGGACGACCGAUGGCGAAGGCAUCUUACCAGAACGGCUUCGACAGUGAGGGACGAAAGCUGGGGGAGCAAACCGGAUUAGAUACCCGGGUAGUCCCAGCCGUAAACGAUGUGCGUUAGGUGUGUCAGUGACCACGAGUCGCUGAGGUGCCGAAGGGAAACCGUGAAACGCACCGCCUGGGAAGUACGGUCGCAAGGCUGAAACUUAAAGGAAUUGGCGGGGGAGCAC
RNAcentral lists this ribosomal RNA (866 nucleotides) under uncultured archaeon. RNAcentral's name for it is "bacterial SSU rRNA". It matches the Rfam family "Archaeal small subunit ribosomal RNA", at positions 5 to 879 of the family's 1478-position model. The record is from RNAcentral.